Molecule: unclassified non-coding RNA, 445 nt
Filed under: Bombus terrestris (buff-tailed bumblebee)
Lineage: Eukaryota; Metazoa; Arthropoda; Insecta; Hymenoptera; Apidae
Description: misc RNA ENSBTSG00005033628.1
Source: RNAcentral
UUUUUGCCUCUUACUGUAACCAGUCUGCUGCCCCAUUGGGUUUGUUUGGCGUUGUAGUCUCCUCCAGCUAUGAAUCUAUUGCCCAGGGUGUCCAGAAAAUUGUCAAAGUCUUCUUUGGCGAUGGAGUGUCUGGGAGGGCAGUAUACAGCUGAAGUGAUGAUUGUACCAUGACAGUCUUCUAUUGCUACGUUUGUUGCUUGGAGGUAGUCUUUCUGGAAUGGUGGAAGUUCGUAGUGCUUAAUGCUUGAUUUGAUUAUGAUUCCGGUGCCGCCGUGGGCCUUUCCGCUGGUGUGUUGGGUAUGGUAGAACUUGUAUCCGUUUAUGUUCAGGUAGUUUUUGUCGGUGAAGUGGGUUUCAGAUAUGAGCAUUAUGUCGAUUUGCUGGUGUUGGGUGUGGUAGAAGUUGUAGCUGUGUAUUUUGAGGUAGUUUUUGUCGGUGAAGUGGG